CUGCAUGGAAUGAACAAAGGCUG
This 23-nucleotide non-coding RNA is filed under the name Cricetulus griseus (Chinese hamster). Lineage: Eukaryota; Metazoa; Chordata; Mammalia; Rodentia; Cricetidae. The record is from RNAcentral.